RNAcentral lists this ribosomal RNA (492 nucleotides) under uncultured bacterium. Its description in RNAcentral is "partial 16S ribosomal RNA". It matches the Rfam family "Bacterial small subunit ribosomal RNA", at positions 29 to 507 of the family's 1533-position model. The record is from RNAcentral.
AGUGAACGCUGGCGGUAGGCCUAACACAUGCAAGUCGAACGGCAGCACAGUAAGAGCUUGCUCUUACGGGUGGCGAGUGGCGGACGGGUGAGGAAUACAUCGGAAUCUACUUUUUCGUGGGGGAUAACGUAGGGAAACUUACGCUAAUACCGCAUACGACCUACGGGUGAAAGCAGGGGAUCUUCGGACCUUGCGCGAUUGAAUGAGCCGAUGUCGGAGUAGCUAGUUGGCGGGGUAAAGGCCCACCAAGGCGACGAUCCGUAGCUGGUCUGAGAGGAUGAUCAGCCACACUGGAACUGAGACACGGUCCAGACUCCUACGGGAGGCAGCAGUGGGGAAUAUUGGACAAUGGGCGCAAGCCUGAUCCAGCGAUACCGCGUGGGUGAAGAAGGCCUUCGGGUUGUAAAGCCCUUUUGUUGGGAAAGAAAAGCAGCAGGUUAAUACCACGCUGUUCUGACGGUACCCAAAGAAUAAGCACCGGCUAACUUCGUG